UUGAAAUUUUGGGUUAAUAAUUUUUUUUGGUUUGUAACUGGACAUUUAAUUAUUUUUUGGUUUUUAUUUCUUUGUGAUUUUGGGCCUGGGCAAAUUGGCCUACUACAAAUAUAAUUUUAAUUUUAAUUAAAAAUGGGCCGGGCCAGGCCGGGCUUGGGCUCUAUAUUUUUUCCCCGGGCCGGGCCUGGAUAAAAUCUUAGGCCCAUAUUUUGGGCCGGGCCGGUCCUGGGCCAGGGAAGUGGGCUAAAAUUUU
RNAcentral lists this long non-coding RNA (253 nucleotides) under Gossypium raimondii (Peruvian cotton). RNAcentral's name for it is "long non-coding RNA (GRAI_LNC002380)". The record is from RNAcentral. Lineage: Eukaryota; Viridiplantae; Streptophyta; Magnoliopsida; Malvales; Malvaceae.